GUGGCUAUAGCUCAGUUGGUAGAGCCCCGGAUUGUGAUUCCGGUUGUCGUCGGUUCGAGCCCGAUUAGCCACC
RNAcentral lists this transfer RNA (73 nucleotides) under Methylophilus rhizosphaerae. RNAcentral describes it as "tRNA_His_GTG". It matches the Rfam family "tRNA". Rfam says of the family: Transfer RNA (tRNA) molecules are approximately 80 nucleotides in length. Their secondary structure includes four short double-helical elements and three loops (D, anti-codon, and T loops). Further hydrogen bonds mediate the characteristic L-shaped molecular structure. tRNAs have two regions of fundamental functional importance: the anti-codon, which is responsible for specific mRNA codon recognition, and the 3' end, to which the tRNAs corresponding amino acid is attached (by aminoacyl-tRNA synthetases). tRNAs cope with the degeneracy of the genetic code in two manners: having more than one tRNA (with a specific anti-codon) for a particular amino acid; and 'wobble' base-pairing, i.e. permitting non-standard base-pairing at the 3rd anti-codon position. The record is from RNAcentral. Lineage: Bacteria; Pseudomonadati; Pseudomonadota; Betaproteobacteria; Nitrosomonadales; Methylophilaceae.